Molecule: ribosomal RNA, 378 nt
Filed under: uncultured Actinomycetes bacterium
Lineage: Bacteria; Bacillati; Actinomycetota; Actinomycetes
Description: bacterial SSU rRNA
Rfam family: Bacterial small subunit ribosomal RNA
Source: RNAcentral
UGUUGGGUUAAGUCCCGCAACGAGCGCAACCCUUGUCCUAUGUUGCCAGCACGUAAUGGUGGGGACUCGUAGGAGACUGCCGGGGUCAACUCGGAGGAAGGUGGGGAUGACGUCAAAUCAUCAUGCCCCUUAUGUCUUGGGCUGCAAGCAUGCUACAAUGGCCGGUACAAAGGGCUGCAAUACCGCAAGGUGGAGCCAAUCCCAAAAAGCCGGUCUCAGUUCGGAUCGGGGUCUGCAACUCGACUCCAUGAAGCUGGAGUUGCUAGUAAUCCCGGAUCAGCAACGCCGGGGUGAAUACGUUCCCGGGCCUUGUACACACCGCCCGUCACACCAUGAAAGUUGGAAACGCCCGAAGCCAGUGGCCGAACCCGCAAGGGA